RNAcentral lists this ribosomal RNA (901 nucleotides) under uncultured bacterium. Its description in RNAcentral is "bacterial SSU rRNA". It matches the Rfam family "Bacterial small subunit ribosomal RNA", at positions 11 to 917 of the family's 1533-position model. The record is from RNAcentral.
GUUUGAUCCUGGCUCAGGAUGAACGCUAGCGGCAGGCCUAACACAUGCAAGUCGAGGGAGAAGCCCUUUCGGGGGCAGAAACCGGCGCACGGGUGCGUAACGCGUAUGCAACCUACCUUUCACAGGGGGAUAGCCCGAAGAAAUUUGGAUUAAUACCCCAUAAUAUUAUUGGAUGGCAUCAUUUGAUAAUUAAAACUGCGGUGGUGAAAGAUGGGCAUGCGUCCUAUUAGCUAGUUGGAGUGGUAACGGCACCCCAAGGCUACGAUAGGUAGGGGUCCUGAGAGGGAGAUCCCCCACACUGGUACUGAGACAGGGACCAGACUCCUACGGGAGGCAGCAGUGAGGAAUAUUGGUCAAUGGUCGGAAGACUGAACCAGCCAUGCCGCGUGCAGGAAGAAUGCCUUAUGGGUUGUAAACUGCUUUUAUAUGGGAAGAAUAAGGCGUACGUGUACGUUGAUGACGGUACCAUAUGAAUAAGCAUCGGCUAACUCCGUGCCAGCAGCCGCGGUAAUACGGAGGAUGCGAGCGUUAUUCGGAAUCAUUGGGUUUAAAGGGUCUGUAGGCGGGCUAUUAAGUCAGGGGUGAAAGGUUUCAGCUUAACUGAGAAAUUGCCUUUGAUACUGGUAGUCUUGAAUAUCUGUGAAGUUCUUGGAAUGUGUAGUGUAGCGGUGAAAUGCUUAGAUAUUACACAGAACACCGAUUGCGAAGGCAGGGGACUAACAGACAAUUGACGCUGAGAGACGAAAGCGUGGGGAGCGAACAGGAUUAGAUACCCUGGUAGUCCACGCUGUAAACGAUGGAUACUAGCUGUUUGGCGCAAGCUGAGUGGCUAAGCGAAAGUGAUAAGUAUCCCACCUGGGGGAGUACGCACGCAAGUGUGAAACUCAAAGGAAUUGACGGA